UAGGGAAUCUUCCACAAUGGACGCAAGUCUGAUGGAGCAACGCCGCGUGAGUGAAGAAGGUCUUCGGAUCGUAAAACUCUGUUGUUAGAGAAGAACACGAGUGAGAGUAACUGUUCAUUCGAUGACGGUAUCUAACCAGCAAGUCACGGCUAACUACGUGCCAAG
Molecule: ribosomal RNA, 165 nt
Filed under: uncultured bacterium
Lineage: Bacteria
Description: partial 16S rRNA
Rfam family: Bacterial small subunit ribosomal RNA
Source: RNAcentral